This 1227-nucleotide long non-coding RNA is filed under the name Sorghum bicolor (sorghum). Its description in RNAcentral is "long non-coding RNA (SBIC_LNC006312)". The record is from RNAcentral. Lineage: Eukaryota; Viridiplantae; Streptophyta; Magnoliopsida; Poales; Poaceae.
ACUACUAUCAUCAGUUUGUUACUAUUAUCGUCAGUUUGCUACUAGUUAUUUGUAAUAAAUGCCUCAAGAUUAAUAAAGAGUAUUAUUAUUAUUAUGUCUUGUGUGUCUCUACUUUAUUUUUGUGCAAGAAAGCAGAAAACAAGUACGGGGGAGAUCCCUCAACAUGCCAAACACACUCCGACUACACCACUCCACGAGUCAGGUACAAACUCUGCACACUUUACUUUACACAUACACAUAUCUUGGAUUAUGCAGAAUAUUGUUUCCGACAUGAUAAAUCAAUAAGCUUAAAAUGUUUCUAAAUAUGAUUAAUCUUAUUCUGUGAUAUUUCCUGAAACUUGCAAUUAUUAUAAAAUCAUUUUAAAACCCUGUGUUACUUAAGAUAGUAUGGAAUGUGAGAUGGUAGAGUAUGAGUUUCUUAUUCUUGAUAUCAUUGUUACUUGGAGAAUUUAUUUCAAAAUCUUCAAAAUUCUAGCUACCAUCCUCAGUGUUUUAUAUGCCUGAUAAAACUGAAAACAUUAAUUAUGAUUAUAAAAGCUAUCUACUCUGUAUUGAGUUUGUUCAAAAUGAGUUAGACCCUUGUUGAGAGAUUUAUCAUGCUCCUAAGAUCAAGACAUUUAUUCAGAAAGAUUCACUCUUCCGAAGUAUUAUUGCAUUAGAGGCAUGGGCUAUGCAAAAAUAAAGAUAUUUUGAGGAAAUAAAAAGGAGCAAGUGCUCGAUAACCUCGCAGAAAAAUGGACAAGUGUCCAGCAGUAGAAUUAGGGGUACCUCGGUAUCCACUUAAAAAAAGAGAGAAAAAAAAUGAUAGCCCAUGGUCCCUCUAACAAGCAAUAUGCCAGUAAGAGUUGACAAAGAUUUUAAUUUCCAAAGUCUUUGAUCUAAGAGUAUGACAUUCCCCUCCUCGGAUCCCGUUUUGAUCAGGCAAUAAAUGCAAAGUAAGUAUGCUUAGAAUUUUUGCAAAUUAAAACAGCCUCAGUGAGAUAUAUAAAAGAUAAUGAGUGAUAUGAGAGAACCUAUGAGGAUAAAAAGGUAUGCUAACUUUCUUUCAAAAAAUAUACAAAAACUCCAAGUGACAGGAUUGAGAAAAAAGGAUCCUUACUCUUAACCAUAUACCUCCGUGACUAUAGUACACAGUGGAAUUUUAACACCCUGCAGUUAUGAAAAGAAUAUUUUUAAAAUGUUUUACCCCAAAUAUUGUUCUUAACCAUCCUUUUCUCGAGGACGAGU